CCUACGGGAGGCAGCAGUGGGGAAUUUUGGACAAUGGGCGCAAGCCUGAUCCAGCAAUGCCGCGUGAGUGGAGAAGGCCUUCGGGUUGUAAAGCUCUUUUGUCAGGGAAGAAACGGUGGGAGCUAAUAUCUCCCGCUAAUGACGGUACCUGAAGAAUAAGCACCGGCUAACUACGUGCCAGCAGCCGCGGUAAUACGUAGGGUGCAAGCGUUAAUCGGAAUUACUGGGCGUAAAGCGUGCGCAGGCGGUUUUGUAAGUCUGUCGUGAAAGCCCCGGGCUCAACCUGGGAAUUGCGAUGGAGACUGCAAGGCUUGAAUCUGGCAGAGGGGGGUAGAAUUCCACGUGUAGCAGUGAAAUGCGUAGAGAUGUGGAGGAACACCGAUGGCGAAGGCAGCCCCCUGGGUCAAGAUUGACGCUCAUGCACGAAAGCGUGGGGAGCGAACAGGAUUAGAUACCCUGGUAGUCCACGCCCUAAACGAUGUCUACUAGUUGUCGGGUUUUAAUUAACUUGGUAACGCAGCUAACGCGUGAAGUAGACCGCCUGGGGAUACGGUCGCAAGAUUAAAACCUCAAAGGAAUUGACGG
Molecule: ribosomal RNA, 585 nt
Filed under: uncultured bacterium
Lineage: Bacteria
Description: bacterial SSU rRNA
Rfam family: Bacterial small subunit ribosomal RNA
Source: RNAcentral